Stomoxys calcitrans (stable fly) is the source of this 353-nucleotide long non-coding RNA. RefSeq lists it as uncharacterized. The record is from RefSeq and is a predicted model, not a curated record. Lineage: Eukaryota; Metazoa; Arthropoda; Insecta; Diptera; Muscidae. The transcript is spliced from 2 exons.
AUGUGAAAAAGAUUUCUCGGAAAGGUAAUUUGUGCAGUUAAUGAAAAGUCACGUGAAGUCGCAUGAUGCGAAAAGGGGAAAGCAAGAUGAAUUUUAAUGCGAAUCCGAGAUGGUCCGUCGGAAACUCUGGCGCUUAUGACAUACAUUUCCGGCGCAUAAUAGAUACGUCGAAAACAUCGUAAACCUAACCAAAACAAGUAAAAACGUAUUAAGAUCGGCCGUGCCGUACUUUGGAAGCCCACCACCAUGGAUUUUCAUUUCAUUUCAUUUCAUUUAUUAACCAAAUAUGUAAUAUAAAGCCAAUAAGGCCCAUAAAAUAAUUACAUACAAACAUUUCAGUAGCCUGAGUAUAA